UACGGGAGGCAGCAGUGGGGAAUAUUGCACAAUGGGCGCAAGCCUGAUGCAGCCAUGCCGCGUGUAUGAAGAAGGCCUUCGGGUUGUAAAGUACUUUCAGUCGUGAGGAAGGUGUUAAGGUUAAUAACCUUAGCAAUUGACGUUAGCGACAGAAGAAGCACCGGCUAACUCCGUGCCAGCAGCCGCGGUAAUACGGAGGGUGCGAGCGUUAAUCGGAAUUACUGGGCGUAAAGGGCACGCAGGCGGUUAAUUAAGUUGGAUGUGAAUCCCCGGGCUUAACCUGGGAAUGGCAUUCAAGACUGGUUAGCUAGAGUCUUGUAGAGGGGGUAGAAUUCCAUGUGUAGCGGUGAAAUGCGUAGAGAUGUGGAGGAAUACCGGGUGGCGAAGGCGGCCCCUGGGACAAAGACUGACGCUCAUGUGCGAAAGCGUGGGGAGCAAACAGGGAUUAGAUACC
Molecule: ribosomal RNA, 454 nt
Filed under: uncultured bacterium
Lineage: Bacteria
Description: bacterial SSU rRNA
Rfam family: Bacterial small subunit ribosomal RNA
Source: RNAcentral